Molecule: long non-coding RNA, 3486 nt
Organism: Felis catus (domestic cat)
Lineage: Eukaryota; Metazoa; Chordata; Mammalia; Carnivora; Felidae
Exons: 4
Source: RefSeq, a predicted model, not a curated record
UUGAUCUAUAUUUACAGUCAUUAAAAUAAAAAAAGAAUGAUAAUAUUUCACUGGAGUGAUUAUGGAAGAUUUCAUCACUGGCCAUUUAUUCACUUUAUUAAAAAAGGGUAAAAGGCAUUAAAAUGUAUCAAACAAUUAGAAAGCAGCCCAUUUUAAAGCUUCCCAUUUAAAGCUUCCCUCUACUCUCUGUUAUUAAAAUGUGAUUAAAUUCUAGUAAUUUGGAAGUGAUUGUUCUGAAGUAAAAGUUGUUUUAGCAUCAGACUCUGAUGCUGGGCCAUAUUCUUUUGUUUGUGGCAAGUUCACCAACUAUGAAAUAUUAAAUGUCAUUGCUUAGAGCACUUCCAAUUAAACCAAAGGGAGUAACCUGAAUGAACUUCUUAAUAUUGAUGUGAUAAAUAAACUAGUUUCCAGUAGCUAAUUAUGUAUUUUAUUCUAUAAAGCAUUGUUUAAUGUGCAAGAUUGUAAUGUUUUUAAUAAGUGCUGUUUUUGUAUAAUUUCCCAGUGGUGACACUUUGGACACAAUUAAGGUCAGAAAUAAAUGCUUGUGCUGUUUCCAGUACAUUUAACAAUAAAGUAACUCUGGGGAGAUCUGUAUAUAUUUUUAAUUGUAACAAUUUAACCUUCAAACAGCAGUGUCUAGUAGAGUUGACCCAGUAAAACUACUUGUAAUUAUACAAGUUGACCCCACUGACCUUUGAUAGUGGUCUCUCUUUAUCAGAUAGUCAAUUUCGAAUGAUGUUCAAGCAGAAAUCUUAGUGGAUAGAUUAAAUUGUGUAGUGAAAGCAACCCUUUAAUGUUUUGUGAAGUUGAAGGUUUAAAUGAGGAGCAGUUGGACUGAUUUACAUUUGCAAAGAUUGGAAUGCUAGACAAACAGUGAACCUAUUUAUUUUCCAACUGGGUAGCUUUGGAAAUUUAUCCUUAUUCUAGCUAAGUAGAUAGAGGGGAAAAUAGUGUAAUAAAAAAAGUAGAUUGAAAAGAAUUAGCUUUCCUCUUAAAGGAAGAUUGGUCUGUUUAUUUGUGGAAUUUACUUUUUUUUUUCCCCAGGAUUACUGCCUGCUGAUGAUGUCGAUUGAAAGUACAGACUAAGCACUGAUCUUGAAAUCCUGGAGUUUGUGGCCAAGGCUAUUGGAUACAAUGAACAUUCGAGUUUGAACCUUAAAUUUUCUUAUGAAUGCGUAACAAGUUUUCCAAACUGGCCUGCAGUGCUGAGAUACAGUUAUUGAAAAAGCUACAAUAAGAAGAUGAAGAGAAAAGCAAGAAACCGUGAAAUACAGGAUAACAUACGUGAACUAAAAGUAGAAAUAUGUAUUUUUAAGUGAUUGAAGUAGAUAUUUCAUCUAAUCACUAUAGCAUCCCUGCUCUAAUUUUCAGCCUGUCAAAAAAACCUGUCAGCUGCAAAGGCGAUAAGGGGGGCAGUUUAAAGAAGAUACUGGAGCCUUAAGCUUCUUAAUGUGCCAAGAAUCAAUCCCAUGAAAGCAAACAACUUGAAAAAGGGUUAUAUGUAUUUAGGAAAGCUCUCAGGCUCCCUUCCCGCUCCGCUCCAGCCAGAGCGAGUGUUCAAGUUUUCUCACCCUGAUGACCCCUGAAGCAGCCCGGAGGGAUUGCAAAACAAGGCCGUUACACAAGGCAGCUUGCUAAUUGAGAAGUUGAUCGGGGGUAGAGAAAUCCUGCUUUACCACGUUAAGUGUCGAAAUCAAGCAUGACUAGAUUGACGUCGCCAAAUCACCGUCUGGAGGCCACUCCACGCCAGGAGCAGCCGGGCUUUUCACACCUGAUAGGCCCUCACUCUAUCUACAUCAAGUCACAUUAAGAAAGGAAUGUAUUACGGAACUGGAGCCCGCGCCCAAAGAGCUUACUCCACUGCCUAAUUGCUACUUCUCCGCUUCCUGCAAGAAACAAACCUGUCCGGCAGCUUAAACCUGUUCCCCCUGGAAAACCAGCAUUCCUCCACCCACUCUGCUGAUUUUUGUUAUAAUCCGGUUAUAGCACCAAACCCCGGAAUGAGUUAGGGGAACGCAGUAGGGUUAGAAAUGUCAUAUUACGCAUCUCAAUGACAUUGAUCUAAAUCACAGAACCCCUGGAACAGUUUUAUAAACAGUGACUUUUUAAAGCUUUUGUUUUCUUCUUCUUCCUCUUCCCCCCCCCCCCUUUUAAAUGAAAUUGCAGACUCACGAUGUAUGAUCAGUGAAAUGCCUGAAACCAGAUAGUGAUUUAGACUCCACACCGGUAUGAGGAAGAGACUGGAGACCUUCUGCUUUUGAACUCUGAGUCCCCAGUCACGGCUUUGCUGCUCUCCAACCUAAAAUCCCCUGUGACAGAUGGCAUAAUAGAUAUUCCGGACAUCCCAUACUGGCAGGCUGAUAUUACUUGGUAUUUUUUCCUACGCUCUGUUUCUGACAGGUUCAAAGCACUUAACCAACAAAGUGUUUUAGGUGGGGAGGUGCAGUGAGAACCUGAAUAAGGAACUUCCCCCUAUUUCUAACACUUUCAAAUUAAAUUAAAAAAAAUUUUUUACCACUUUUCAAUUUUAAAUCUCAGUUUUCUUACUGAGACGAUGGGGUUAAUUUCAAUCUGUCCUCUAUUAACUACAGGGCACACAGGGAAAUAAAUAGCCUUUUUUCCAACUGCAAGGAUUUUUUUUUUUUUGGUCAUUAAAAAACAUUCUUUUAUAAACUUAUAAUGUGAAAAUUAAUCUUUCCCAUACUUAUUUGCGAGGUGGUGGGUGAAAGUCAUUUUAAGGGUGGGGAAACUGAGGCACAGAGGUAACAGUGACUCACCUCAGAUCUUAGUCAAUUAGUAGCAGUGAUGGAAACCUGGAAGUCUAUGUUUUCUGACACCCAGACUGGUGCUCACUCCAUAUGAGACUUCUUGCCCUUAAUCCAAGUAUGAUGGAUAAGAUAUUGUGAUAAACUGGUAACAAAGAGAAACAAACAAAAAACAUACAAGGGAAAAGGUAUUUUCUUACCUUGCAAAUGAUGACGGGGCAAUCCAUUGUACUCUACAACCCAACGCUGACUUCCAAGUUAUAAUCUAAAAACUUACUAUGAUACUUGUCAUAUAUUUAUAAAAAGCUCAACAUUCUCUUUUAGAGCUCAAAAUUAGUAAACAAACCCACAAGAAUUAAACCCCACUAAAAUUGAGGAUUUACUGAUUUUAGAAAACACAAACAUAAGAUCAGUUUUCACACUGAAGGUAAACCUGUCUACAAUAGAAUUUUUAAUGGACCAAGCAACUAAAAGACUAACUUCUCUCUGAAAAUAAUACCUCAUCCAAUUAGACAAACCUGUCAAAAGAUUUUCCUGUGCUUAUAUUGCAAAGAAACAUCUCAAAUCAACAUCAAUAUGAAAGCUGGUCAAUUAUGUAAGGGCUUAGCACGUAAAGGUGAAUGUUUAUUCAGCCCUGACUCUGCACCUGACACUGUUGUAAGCAUUUUACAUGGGUUGUCUCAUUAAUCUUCACAACAGCCAAAUUAGCAGGUGGCAGUUU